UACGUAGGGGGCUAGCGUUGUCCGGAAUCAUUGGGCGUAAAGCGCGCGUAGGCGGCCCGGUAAGUCCGCUGUAAAAGUCAAAGGCUCAACCUUUGAAUGUCAGUGGAUACUGCCGGGCUAGAGUCCGGAAGAGGAGAGUGGAAUUCCUGGUGUAGCGGUGAAAUGCGUAGAUAUCGGAAGGAACACCAGUGGCGAAAGCGGCUUCCUGGACCAGUACUGACGUUCAUGUGCGAAAGCGUGGGGAGCAAACAGG
RNAcentral lists this ribosomal RNA (253 nucleotides) under uncultured bacterium. RNAcentral's name for it is "partial 16S ribosomal RNA". It matches the Rfam family "Bacterial small subunit ribosomal RNA", at positions 524 to 776 of the family's 1533-position model. The record is from RNAcentral.